AUACGGAAGGUCCGGGCGUUAUCCGGAUUUAUUGGGUUUAAAGGGAGCGUAGGCCGCAUGUUAAGCGUGCUGUGAAAUGUCGGGGCUCAACCUGGGCAGCGCAGCGCGAACUGGCUUGCUUGAGUGCGCGGAAGGGAGGCGGAAUUCGUGGUGGAGCGGGGAAAUGCUUAGAUAUCACGAAGAACUCCGAUUGCGAAGGCAGCUUCCCGCAGCGCUACUGACGCUGAAGCUCGAAGGUGCGGGCAUCGAACAGGAUUAGAUACCCUGGUAGUCCGCACGGUAAACGAUGGAUGCCCGCUGUGCGCCUUUUUGGUGCGUGGCCAAGCGAAAGCGUUAAGCAUCCCACCUGGGGAGUACGCCGGCAACGGUGAAACUCAAAUGAAUUGGCGGGG
This 392-nucleotide ribosomal RNA is filed under the name uncultured bacterium. RNAcentral's name for it is "partial 16S ribosomal RNA". It matches the Rfam family "Bacterial small subunit ribosomal RNA", at positions 523 to 918 of the family's 1533-position model. The record is from RNAcentral.